CCGGUGUGCCGCUGCACCACAUUGCUCUUCCUUUCUUUCCGUGGAUCACGCCAGCCACCUAGUCAGUUCUGAUGAGAGAACCUGGAUACCUUGGUUGCCAGUGCAGGAUCCACACACUAAUUAUGGUUCUUUUUGAUGGGAGCCCCGGAUUGCUGCUGCUUCUAUUCGGCCAUCUUGUCCCCACCCCGGGAUGACAUCUAGGUGCAAGAUCCCAGCCCCACGCCUCAUUCUCCACAAGCUCCUCUGACGUAAGGGGCUGCCCAGUCACCCGCUCACACCCAUCCCCUUCCUGGCUCAGGGGACAGCUGGCUCCCCGCCUUCUCCGCAGGCCAGCGAGGAGCUCGGAGCCUCCACCUGGGAGUGGGGGUGUAGCUGGCUGGGACCUCGGACCCACGGUGGAGGGAGCAGGGAGUAGGUGAGAUGACAGGCCGACAGGUGGCGGGGAUUCUGGCCCUAGUACCUCGACUGCCACUGGUGCGGAGCCUGGUGGAGACGGGGCAGGCGGACUGCCCAGGAGGUUGAAGGAAAUAGAAACAAAUCCCUAUCUCUGGGAGCAGAGCAGGAAUGAAUGCCAGACCCAGAACUACAGCUGCAAGAGAAGCAGGGACAGCGAAAGGCCGCACUCUCAAGACCCAGGGAAAGAAUGGCUGCCUAAGAAUGAAGCUUAAUAACAGUAAUAGAGAAUGUGCUCUUUCCUCUUCUGCAACAACC
RNAcentral lists this long non-coding RNA (711 nucleotides) under Homo sapiens (human). RNAcentral describes it as "HSALNT0110146". Lineage: Eukaryota; Metazoa; Chordata; Mammalia; Primates; Hominidae. The record is from RNAcentral.